This 669-nucleotide unclassified non-coding RNA is filed under the name Melitaea cinxia (Glanville fritillary). Its description in RNAcentral is "misc RNA ENSMCXG00005001768.1". Lineage: Eukaryota; Metazoa; Arthropoda; Insecta; Lepidoptera; Nymphalidae. The record is from RNAcentral.
UCGAAUGCUAAGAAGUUAGUCUUCGCCCCCUUAACUAAUAACUACCCGCCUUCCGUACUACGUUACCUUUCUGUUAACUGAUUCCUGUGUUAUAAUAAUUUGGUGAUAUCAUUAGUUGUGUUUACUUGUGUCAACAUUACCCACUUAUGCCCACAGUAGACUGAGUGAGUACUCUGAGAUCAUGAGAAAGAGAAAUAUACCUUCAAGCCGAAAAGUAUACCUUCUCCUUUUUUUUAAUAUCUGACAUCAGAAGUGGGAUCGGAUCCAAACCCACUUUCAAAAAUUAAUUAAUUUAGUUAGUUACAUUGAACGAACAAAUGUCUCUCUUCGCUUCCGGUAUAGAAGCUAUUAUUCAGAAAAUAUGUGAAGUUAUAGGCCUACCCCCUGACAAUACAUCUGUUUUUAGCAAUUGUGCGAGUUAGUUACAAUAUUUUGUGGUGAUUGUUACAAUGUCAGAUUGUGAGCGUCGUGAUGAGUUUCAGCGUCGCGGCAAUCACGGCGGCGCUGUAGCAGAGCGACGCGUGGAUGUCUGUACAGUGGCAGGCGUUUGUGGAAAAUUACAACAAUCUUGUGAGUCGUACUAUUUUUAUUUUGAUUCCAGUGCCGAAUGUUAUCUUGUUAGACAAACUGUUGGCCGUAACUUCAUAGGGCGAUUAUUCAUUUACAGGC